UACGUAGGGGGCAAGCGUUGUCCGGAAUCAUUGGGCGUAAAGCGCGCGCAGGCGGCCCGGUAAGUCCGCUGUAAAAGUCCAGGGCUCAACCCUGGAAAGCCGGUGGAUACUGCCGGGCUAGAGUCCGGAAGAGGCGAGUGGAAUUCCUGGUGUAGCGGUGGAAUGCGCAGAUAUCAGGAGGAACACCGAUGGCGAAGGCAGCUCGCUGGGACGGUACUGACGCUGAGGCGCGAAAGCGUGGGGAGCGAACAGG
RNAcentral lists this ribosomal RNA (253 nucleotides) under uncultured bacterium. Its description in RNAcentral is "partial 16S ribosomal RNA". It matches the Rfam family "Bacterial small subunit ribosomal RNA", at positions 524 to 776 of the family's 1533-position model. The record is from RNAcentral.